Molecule: ribosomal RNA, 253 nt
Filed under: uncultured bacterium
Lineage: Bacteria
Description: partial 16S ribosomal RNA
Rfam family: Bacterial small subunit ribosomal RNA
Source: RNAcentral
UACGGAGGGGGCUAGCGUUAUUCGGAAUUACUGGGCGUAAAGCGCACGUAGGCGGCUUUGUAAGUUAGAGGUGAAAGCCUGGAGCUCAACUCCAGAAUUGCCUUUAAGACUGCAUCGCUUGAAUCCAAGAGAGGUGAGUGGAAUUCCGAGUGUAGAGGUGAAAUUCGUAGAUAUUCGGAAGAACACCAGUGGCGAAGGCGGCUCACUGGCUUGGUAUUGACGCUGAGGUGCGAAAGCGUGGGGAGCAAACAGG